RNAcentral lists this ribosomal RNA (201 nucleotides) under Pseudomonas aeruginosa. Its description in RNAcentral is "partial 16S ribosomal RNA". It matches the Rfam family "Bacterial small subunit ribosomal RNA", at positions 1 to 214 of the family's 1533-position model. Lineage: Bacteria; Pseudomonadati; Pseudomonadota; Gammaproteobacteria; Pseudomonadales; Pseudomonadaceae. The record is from RNAcentral.
GAACUGAAGAGUUUGAUCAUGGCUCAGAUUGAACGCUGGCGGCAGGCCUAACACAUGCAAGUCGAGCGGAUGAAGGGAGCUUGCUCCUGGAUUCAGCGGCGGACGGGUGAGUAAUGCCUAGGAAUCUGCCUGGUAGUGGGGGAUAACGUCCGGAAACGGGCGCUAAUACCGCAUACGUCCUGAGGGAGAAAGUGGGGGAUC